AAGUCGUAACAAGGUUUCCGUAGGUGAACCUGCGGAAGGAUCAUUAAGGAACAGAGUGGUACCGUGCGUGCUGGUCGAUUGACUAUGCCGUGCGCGUUCACUUUAUUUCCAUGCGUACGGUUUAUUUGGGGCAUUGCCCAUGUCGCUUGCCUAUUUUAGGGAACGGCGUGGACGGUGCACUAUCUAACCAAACACCAAUCAUUCUACAAGACUGAAGGGGAUAACCAUAACCAAAAUACAACUUUUAACAAUGGAUCUCUAGGCUCUU
RNAcentral lists this unclassified non-coding RNA (268 nucleotides) under fungal sp. RNAcentral describes it as "partial internal transcribed spacer region". The stretch from base 1 to 46 matches the Rfam family "Eukaryotic small subunit ribosomal RNA", at positions 1786 to 1831 of the family's 1831-position model. Lineage: Eukaryota; Fungi. The record is from RNAcentral.